CCUACGGGUGGCAGCAGUAGGGAAUCUUCCACAAUGGGCGAAAGCCUGAUGGAGCAACGCCGCGUGGGUGAAGAAGGUCUUAGGAUCGUAAAACCCUGUUGUUAGAGAAGAAAGUGCGUGAGAGUAACUGUUCACGUUUCGACGGUAUCAAACCAGAAAGCCACGGCUAACUACGGCCCAGCAGCCGCGGUAAUACGUAGGGGGCAAGCGUUAUCCGGUUUUAUUGGGCGUAAGGGGAACGCAGGUGGUCUUUUAAGUCUGAGGUGAAAGCUUUCGGCUUAACCGGAGGAUUGCAUUGGAAACUGGUAGAAUUGAGUGCAGAUGAGGAGAGUGGAAUUCCAUGUGUAGCGGUGAAAUGCGUAGAUAUAUGGAAGAACACCAGUGGCGAAAGCGGCUCUCUGGUCUGUAACUGACGCUGAGGUUCGAAAGUGUGGGUAGCAAACAGGAUUAGAUACCCCAGUAGUC
This 465-nucleotide ribosomal RNA is filed under the name uncultured bacterium. RNAcentral's name for it is "partial 16S ribosomal RNA". It matches the Rfam family "Bacterial small subunit ribosomal RNA", at positions 338 to 795 of the family's 1533-position model. The record is from RNAcentral.